UCUCAACUAAAUCUUGAGAUUUUACUAGAAUUUUUUUUUUCUUUUUCUUCAGGUUGUUGGACUUUCUUUUUUCCCAUAUUUUUUCUCUAUCUGUACAGACAAUAUAGACAUUCACAAUCAUGUCCACUACUUAAUAAUUUCCCGUUUGUACACAAUUCUAAGCACAAUAAGUGCCUGAACAUGGUAGGGUAAAAGGAUAACCCACGCCCCCUAAUAUCACUAAUGCUUGCAUUGCAGAUGUCAAAAUCGCUGCUAUACUUGCUCAACCCGCUCCCAUAUACGAAACUAGAUUCAUCUUUCCAAUUGACCACACUCCAAUAACAUGCCUCUUCAAUGUAUUUAAAUUCACAUCUUUUAAAAUUUCCUGUAAUAUGACUCCAGUAAUAUGAAAUUCACAAAGUCCUUUCAAUCAAAUCUUAUAAAUUGAAUUAUUACAUAUAUUUAUGAAUUAACUUCAAA
RNAcentral lists this long non-coding RNA (459 nucleotides) under Glycine max (soybean). RNAcentral's name for it is "long non-coding RNA (GMAX_LNC000620)". Lineage: Eukaryota; Viridiplantae; Streptophyta; Magnoliopsida; Fabales; Fabaceae. The record is from RNAcentral.